RNA transcript from Zingiber officinale, 2954 nucleotides. RefSeq lists it as uncharacterized. NCBI's taxonomy places the organism in Eukaryota, Viridiplantae, Streptophyta, Magnoliopsida, Zingiberales, Zingiberaceae. The record is from RefSeq and is a predicted model, not a curated record. The transcript is spliced from 3 exons.
ACGUAAACUAAAAAAAAGAAAAACAAAAAAAUGCAAUAAAAAUGUUAAAAAAAAUAGAGAAAAAUAAAGUCCAAAAAUAAUAAUAAUAAUAAUAAAGUUUAAAAAGAAAGAAAAAUAAUAUGUAUAGUUAGUUUUUAUAGCGGAGGGUAAUAUAGUAAAAUAUUAAACCAGGUUAUACAUUAAAACUUCAAACAAACACGUUUUUGUUACAUGGUUGAAUCAAACAACAUUAGAUUAUGUUUUAUUCCCCAUAAUCUUGGUUAUGUGAUUACUUGGUAAUCACAAGGUUAUACAUGAUGACUUGAACCAAAUGCACCCUAAGGGUUGAGUUUGAAUCACUCUCUAUGAAGGAGAGUGAACAUAUCUCCGACUACUUUACAAGAGUUUUUGCUGUUGUCAAUCAAAUGAAGAGACUUGGAGAAACCAUGCCUGACAUUCGGGUAAUUGAGAAGGCUCAUGAAGAAAGGAUGAACCGUGGAAAGCAAGAACAAUCAGAACAUGUAUUAUAAGCAAAGACUAAUUUGAAAAUCAAAGGAGGUGGUUCUAGUAGAGGUCGUGGGCAAGGACGAGGCAGAGGCUGAGGUUUAGUACAUAGUCGUGGUCAAGGGAGAGAUGAGUAACCUUCUUAGUUUGAUAAAAGAAAUCAAACAUCUGUAAGAGGUCGUGGAAGAGCAAGAGGAAGAGACAUUAUUCUUGGGAGUGUUAAUCAAAUAUGGAAGAUGAAGAGGCAAAUCUACUGGAGAACAAGGAAGAUGAUGUAGAGCAAUCCUUGUUUGUUGCACUCAAGGAGGAUUCUAUUCGAAAACCAAACACAUGGUACCUUAAUAAUGGUGCUAGCAAUCAUAUGACGGGUGAUAAAAGUAAAUUUGUGGAGCUUGAUACAAACAAGAAAGGUUUUGCAAGUUUUGGAGACAACACAAAGGUGAAGAUUGAAGGCAAAGGUAUAAUUCUCCUUGAAACAAAGAAUGGUGGUCAUAAAAUACUUUGUGAUGUUUAUUAUGUUCAAAAUUGACUAGCCAUAUUUGCAGUAUUGGCCAACUUUUAGAAAGAAAUUACAAGAUCAAUACGAAUGAUUAUAUGCUUCAGAUACGAGAUCAAGAUUCUAACCUUAUUGCUAAGGUGUCUAUGACUAAGAACAGGAUGUUCUUAUUGGACUUGAAGAAUUGUGGACCUAUGUGCUUGAGGACAUGUAUCCAAGAUCCAUCAUGGAUUUGACAUAUGAGGUUUGAUCAUUUGAAUUUUGAUGGACUCAAAGCUUUGGAAGAUCAUAAGAUGGUGAAAGGGAUUCCAAAAAUUGAUCAUCCUAAUCAAUUAUGUGAAGCAUGCUUACUAGGCAAGCAUCCGAGAAAGAGCUUUCUAAAGCAAUCCAUUUCCAGAGCAACUAAAUCACUCCAACUUGUCCAUGCUAAUGUUUGUGGUCCUAUCAAGCCCAAAUCUCUCGGUAAAAGCUAUUACUUUGUGCUCUUUAUUGAUGAUUUCAGUAGAAAGACAUGGGUCUAUUUUUUGAAGCACAAACCUGAGGUAUUUGGUAUAUUCACAAAGUUCAAAGCUCUUGUUGAAAAAGAAAGUAUAUAUCAAAUUUAAGCAUUAAGAAUUGAUAGGGGUGAUGAAUUUACAUCUAAUGAAUUUAACAACUUUUGAGAGUUGCAUGGAAUUUGUUGUCUUUUGACCGUUCCAAGAUCAUCCAACAAAUCGGAGUUGCUGAAAGGAAGAAUAAGACAAUACUUAAUAUGGCAAGGAGUAUGUGAAAAUAUAAAGGCAUGUCUAAGGAGUUUUGGGCAGAAGUUGUGCAUGUGCUGUGUAACUUUCAAAUCGAUCUCUAACAAAGAGCUUGAAGAACGUAACACCUCAAGAAGCAUGGAGUGGAUGGAAGCCAACUAUAUCACAUCUACGAGUAUGUGGAUCCAUUGCAUUUGCACAUAUCCAUGAACAAGGAAUAUCCAAGUUAGAUGAUCGGAGUUAGAAACUUAUUUUCAUUGGAUAUGAUGAAAAUUCCAAGAGGUAUAGAUUGUACAAUCCACAUAAAGGAAGAGUGGUGAUUAGUAGAGAUGUAGAAUUUAACAAAGAUGCAUCGUGGGAUUAGAGCUCUAAGGAAGAAGAAGGGUCUUAUGAUUUUCUCCUUACUUUGAUGUGGAAAAAGAAGUCCAAGAGAAAUCUACUCCACUGGCAACUCCACAUGCACUUGGGUUAUCAAUGACGUCGGGAUCAUCUUCGGGAGAAAAGACUCUAAAAUAUCGAAGUGACAUAUACAAUGAGACUCAUGUUAUUGAUGAAAUGAUAUGUUUUGUUUACUUGCAGAGGUUGAACCUUUGAGCUUUGAAGAAGCAAAAGAGGAUGAGAAAUGGAGAGGAGCCAUGGAUGAAGAAAUGCUAGCCAUUGUGAAGAAUGAUACUUGGGAGUUAGUAUCUAUUUCAAAAGACCAUGAGACUAUUGGUAUCAAAUGAGUGUACAAGACAUUGAUUAUGACGAGGUAUUUGCUCUGGUAGCUUAAAUGGAGACAAUUCGCUUAUUGAUAUCUGUUGCCGUUCAAAAUCAUUGGAAGAUUUAUUAGUUAGAUGUUAAAUCUGCCUUUCUUAAUGGUUAUCUUAAUGAAGAUGUUUACAUUGAGUAACCUAUUGGAUAUGUGGUUAAGGGGCACGAUGACAAGGUCUUGAAGCUAAAGAAGACACUUUAUGGUCUUAAACAAGCGCCCAGAGCUUGGAACAAUCGUCUUGACAAAUAUUUGCAAGAAAGUGGUUUCAUGAGAUGCACCCACGAGUAUGCACUCUAUAUGAAAGAAGAAGGUCAGAGUUUCUUACUUGUUUCCAUUUAUGUGGACGAUCCUAUAUUCACAGGAAAUAAUUAAAGAAUUCAAGAUAGUCAUGAAUAUUAGAUGAUUGAUAUGAGACUCAUGACUUAUUUCUUGGGAAUCCAAGUAAAGCAAAUGGAGGAUGGAACUUCUAUUUCACAAGAGA